AAAACCUAGACCCCCAUGUUCUUGCUUAAAGAGGCUUUAGCUUUCCCUUUUGGAUGGUCCCCGGCGUUUUAGCUAGAUGGUGGGGUAACGGCUCACCAAGGCAAUGAUACGUAGCCGACCUGAGAGGUAAUCGGCCCCAUUGGGACUGAGACCCGGCCCAAACUCCUACGGGAGGCAGCAGUAGGGAAUCUUCCACAAUGGACGAAAGUCUGAUGGAGCAACGCCGCGUGAGUGAAGAAGGGUUUCGGCUCGUAAAACUCUGUUGUUAAAGAAGAACAUUUGUCAGAGUAACUGUUCAGGUAUUGACGGUAUUUAACCAGAAAGCCACGGCUAACUACGUGCCAGCAGCCGCGGUAAUACGUAGGUGGCAAGCGUUGUCCGGAUUUAUUGGGCGUAAAGCGAGCGCAGGCGGUUUUUUAAGUCUGAUGUGAAAGCCUUCGGCUCAACCGAAGAAGUGCAUCGGAAACUGGGAAACUUGAGUGCAGAAGAGGACAGUGGAACUCCAUGUGUAGCGGUGAAAUGCGUAGAUAUAUGGAAGAACACCAGUGGCGAAGGCGGCUGUCUGGUCUGUAACUGACGCUGAGGCUCGAAAGCAUGGGUAGCGAACAGGAUUAGAUACCCUGGUAGUCCAUACCGUAAACGAUGAAUGCUAAGUGUUGGAGGGUUUCCGCCCUUCAGUGCUGCAGCUAACGCAUUAAGCAUUCCGCCUGGGGAGUACGACCGCAAGGUUGAAACUCAAAGGAAUUGACGGGGGCCCGCACAAGCGGUGGAGCAUGUGGUUUAAUUCGAAGCUACGCGAAGAACCUUACCAGGUCUUGACAUAUUAUGCAAAUCUAAGAGAUUAGACGUUCCCUUCGGGGACAUAGAUACAGGUGGUGCAUGGUUGUCGUCAGCUCGUGUCGUGAGAUGUUGGGUUAAGUCCCGCAACGAGCGCAACCCUUAUUAUCAGUUGCCAGCAUUAAGUUGGGCACUCUGGUGAGACUGCCGGUGACAAACCGGAGGAAGGUGGGGAUGACGUCAAAUCAUCAUGCCCCUUAUGACCUGGGCUACACACGUGCUACAAUGGAUGGUACAACGAGUUGCGAACUCGCGAGAGUAAGCUAAUCUCUUAAAGCCAUUCUCAGUUCGGACUUGUAGGCUGCAACUCGCCUACAUGAAGUCGGAAUCGCUAGUAAUCGCGGAUCAGCAUGCCCGCGGAUUCGCUUG
RNAcentral lists this ribosomal RNA (1206 nucleotides) under Lactiplantibacillus plantarum. Its description in RNAcentral is "bacterial SSU rRNA". It matches the Rfam family "Bacterial small subunit ribosomal RNA", at positions 173 to 1374 of the family's 1533-position model. Lineage: Bacteria; Bacillati; Bacillota; Bacilli; Lactobacillales; Lactobacillaceae. The record is from RNAcentral.